AGUCGCCUCGCAGCAGCGAGCCGCGAGCGCCCUUCUCCAGUCCCGGCUUGGAACUGAACUGUGUGAGCACGGGUCCUGGAACCCGGGCCCAGAACCGGCGAGCCCAGGUCUGAGCCCAGAGCUCAGCGGUCAGCCUGGUAGGCCCUGACUCGGAAUCGAGCCGAGGCGCUGAGCUUGGAGCCGGAGAGCGGGAGAGCCGGAGAGCAGGGAGGGCGGGCCGGCUGCGCGUCCGACGAGUCGCAGAGCAGGACCGCGGAAGGCAGGGAGACGGCCGCAAGCCCAGGGCAGAGGGCAGAGGGCAGAGAGCGGCCUGGCUCGGCGGAGAGGGCGCCGCCCGGCCGGAACCGAGCUCGCCGCCCGGGACGGCGGCCCCCCGUGGGGCGCGGACCCAGGGUGGCCGUGGGUCCGCAGCGACUCCCCGGCCGACGGCGGGGGGCGUGCCCCCUCCCAGCCCAGCCUCCCCAACCCGGCCCGCCCGCCGCGUCGCGGGGGCAUGUGAGCGGGAAGCCUAGGCUGCCAGCCGCGAGGACCGCACGGAGGAGGAGCAGGAGCGCGGAGCCGCGAGCCCCGAGCCCCGAGCCCGGCGCCUGGCUGAGUAGAUGUCCAUGAGGAGCCCCAUCUCUGCCCAGCUGGCCCUGGAUGGCGUUGGCACCAUGGUGAACUGCACCAUCAAGUCAGAGGAGAAGAAAGAGCCUUGCCACGAGGCCCCCCAGGGCUCAGCCACUGCCGCUGAACCUCAGCCUGGAGACCCAGCCCGGGCCUCCCAGGAUAGUGCUGACCCCCAAGCUCCAGCCCAGGGGAAUUUCAGGGGCUCCUGGGACUGUAGCUCUCCAGAGGGUAAUGGGUCCCCAGAACCCAAGAGACCAGGAGCGUCGGAGGCUGCCUCUGGAAGCCAGGAGAAGCUGGACUUCAACCGAAAUUUGAAAGAAGUGGUGCCAGCCAUAGAGAAGCUGUUGUCCAGUGACUGGAAGGAGAGGUUUCUAGGAAGGAACUCUAUGGAAGCCAAAGAUGUCAAAGGGACCCAAGAGAGCCUAGCAGAGAAGGAGCUCCAGCUUCUGGUCAUGAUUCACCAGCUGUCCACCCUGCGGGACCAGCUCCUGACAGCCCACUCGGAGCAGAAGAACAUGGCUGCCAUGCUGUUUGAGAAGCAGCAGCAACAGAUGGAGCUUGCCCGGCAGCAGCAGGAGCAGAUUGCAAAGCAGCAGCAGCAGCUGAUUCAGCAGCAGCAUAAGAUCAACCUCCUUCAGCAGCAGAUCCAGCAGGUUAACAUGCCUUAUGUCAUGAUCCCAGCCUUCCCCCCAAGCCACCAACCUCUGCCUGUCACCCCUGACUCCCAGCUGGCCUUACCUAUUCAGCCCAUUCCCUGCAAACCAGGUGAGUGUGAGAAGGGAGGUUCCACCACUGCGGCCAGCCUGUCCUGAGGUCAGGGAAAGCGCCCUGGAGCCACUCUCAUCCAUUAAUUUGCUAUGUGGACUUUCUGGGCCUCAGUUUUGGAUCUGUCUGGUAGAAGAAUCAUCCUCUUUUUCUGAAUCUUGCUGAAUUUUGCUGAACUUCACUGGGAGAAUGAAAAACCAUAAAGCCCUUUCCAGAUGUAAAAUGAUGUAGCAAUCCAGGUCUAGUCUCUCCAACUCUAGUACAUUUACUGUGUCAGAGUAUUAAUAUCUGGAAUAUUGCCAGGUGUGGUGGCUCACGCAUGUAAUCCCAGCACUUUGGGAGGCCGAAGUGGGUGGAUCACUUGAGGUCAGGAAUUCGAGGCCAGCCUGGCCAACAUGGUGAAACCCCAUCUUUACUAAAGAUACAAAAAUUAGCUGGGUGUGGUGGUGCAUGCCUGUAGUCCCAGCUACUCAGAAGACUGAGGCAGGAGAAUCGCUUGAACCUGGGAGGCGGAGGUUGCAGUGAGCUGAGAUCAUGCCACUGCACUCCAGCCUAGGUGACAGAGCGAGACUCCAUUUCAAAGAAAAAAAAAAAAAAAUCUGGAAUAUUAACUGGGGUUUAUAAAUCUCCCAAAUUCUUUUUUUGUUUGUUUGUGUUUUGUGUUUUGAGACAGAGUCUUACUUGUUCUGUCACCUGGGCUCUGGAGUGCAGUGGUAUAAUCUCAGCUCACUGCUGCAGCCUCCACCUCCCAUGUUCAAGCGAUUCUCCUGCCUCCGCCUCCUGAGUAGCUGGAAUUACAGGUGCACACCACCAUACCUGGCUAAUUUUUGUAUUUUUAGUAGAGACGAAGUUUCGCCGCGUUGCCCAGGCUGGUCUCCUGACCGCAAGUGAUCCUCCCGCCUCAGCCUCCCAAAGUGCUGGGAUUACAGGCGUGAGCCAACAUCUCCCAAAUUCUAACAGCCACGAUUCCUACCUUCACACUCUUGUCCCUGCCUACACCAUGUCACUCUGGCCUUCUACCCCAUCACUGAAAUUCAGCAGACUGGCCAUGUGUCAGACAAGGGUGUGGGACCUGACGGUACUGGGCAGUUGGGGAGGGAGCAUGGAGUCUGGGAUUUAUUUUGUAGGCUGUGGGGUGCAUGUGAACAUUUGAGAAGUGAGUGUGUCGUUCUGGCUUUGAGGGGUGGGGAGUGGAGGGGAGACUGGCCAGAAGCAGGACCUGCUAGGUGAUUCUAGCAGCAGGGGAUGAUACCUGAACUAGGGCAGUGACAGAGAGUUAUGGGGACAGGGCAGAGAUGCUGCCCAUAAUUACCCCAGGGGUGUGGACAGCUUUAAAGGCAACACGUGCUAGUUCAUCCUCCCUGUUCCACAGGCGAGAAAGAGAGAGAAGAGGAAAUUCCCUGAGGCCUAUAGGCCGUGGGCUUGGGUAGACUGCUCAGCCCCACCGGCUCUCUGCUCCUGCCUGGUUUGUGCCGGGCACUGUAGGGUGGUGUGAAGGGGAAACACAAAAGACUGAGAAAGCCAGGCCCCAUCUUCAUCCAUUCAGGGGCUGUAGAAAGACACCAUGGACCGGGUGGCUCAUAAACAACAGAUGUUUAUUCCUCACAUACAGUUCUGGGGGCUGUGAAUUCCAAGAUCAUAAAGCCAGCGUAUUUGGUGUCUGGUGAGGGCUGACUUUCUGGUUCACAGAUGGCGUCUCUCACUGUGUCCUCAGGUGGUGAAAGGGGUAAACGGGCUCCCUCAGGCCUCUAAUCUCAUUCCUGAGGGCUCCACCCUCAUGACCCAGGCACCUCCCAAAGGUCCCACCUCCUAAUUGUAUCACAUUGGGAAUUAGAUUUCAACAUAGGAAUUGGGGUGGGGGAGGCACAAACAUUCAGACCGUAGCAUUCUGCCCCAGACUCUCCCCAGUUCAUUUUCUUGUCAUAUGCAAAAUAUAUUCAUUCCAUCCCAAUAGGCUCCCAAAUCUUGACUUGUUCCAGCAUCAGUUCAAAAGUUUCAAGUCCACAGCCUCAUCUAAUCUCACCUAGGCCAGGCACCGUGGCUCAUGUCUGUGAUCCCAGCACUUUGGGAGGCUAAGGCAGGAGGAUUGCUUGAGGCCAGGAGUUCAAGACCAGCCUGGGCAACAAAGUGAGACCCUGUCUCUACAAAAAAAAAAAAAAAAAAAAAUA
RNAcentral lists this small RNA (3542 nucleotides) under Pan troglodytes (chimpanzee). Its description in RNAcentral is "processed transcript". Lineage: Eukaryota; Metazoa; Chordata; Mammalia; Primates; Hominidae. The record is from RNAcentral.